AUUUAGGCAAAGAAAAACCUUGUGAGUGGGUGUUUAGUCUUGGCAGGGGGCAUGCAGGUUGCUGAAAUGAGGUGCAUAGGCAUAUGUGAGCACUGCAGAGACAGAGUACCCCUGAAGACCUAUGUAGCACAUGUGGAUGAAAUGUUUUUUCCAGGUUUAAAUCAGGAGCUUAGUAGCUUAUGUAGGUUGAUGUAGGGCUCCCAUGGGUGGAACAGAGUGCUCUGAGACCAGCCAACGUCACACACUCAGGAUGGUGAAGAGUAGGUGCCAAGUUGCUGAGGAUGUUAUGUCCUUUGCUGUUCAGGAAGCAGUUCAGAGGCCAGGCAUUUCCUCAAGAAACAUCUACACCUCCCAUAGUGCCUCCCAGGACAGUCCGAGCAAGGCAGUGCUCUCUGACCCUCCUACCAAUGCAGAGCCACCAUACGCCAGGAAAUGCAAGACAUGCAGGGGAACAAGCAAAAGAGGCUUUGGGACCUGCUCCCAGUCCGACCUCGUGUUGUGCCCAGUGGCUCUCAAGGGGAAGCACAAGUGGCCUCUGGCUCUUAACACAACAAGGUCCAAGUACGCUCUUCUCCCUCAGGUAUGUUUUAAGCAGAGGGAAAUGCUGCAGCGUCUGCCCGUGCCCAGCAGACUGGGACACUUUGCCCCAGCCUUCCAGGUUUCUGGGCUGGGCAGUCCCAGUGUGCUGAGACAGACAGCCUCAGGGCUGCCCAUCCUCACGCAUGGUGACCCCUUCUCACACCUGAGCCCUGCUACGCAUGGACGUUGGCAGACACUUGUUCUAUGUACUCCAAAGGGGGAAUGGUUCUCAUUUACACAACAGCUAUGAAGAAAAUAUUUUGGAGCCAGAUGAAAGAACCACUGAUAUUGAUGGAGACACUUCCCUUGGGGUCAAGAGGCUGCAAAAAUGGCCCAUUCCUUUUGCAUGUUAAAAUAAGGCAAAGAGCUGAAGAUUCUGAAGAAAGGGUGGUUUUGUUUGUUUGCCUUUUUUUUUUUUGAGAAAACACAGCUGAUAGCAUUUCUUUGUUAUUGUGUUUUAAGUGGCCUUAACAGUGUCUUUCUAGUCAUCUCAGCUCUUAUCACCAUAGUGUCUGAAUGGCUGAUGUGAGUUUAUUGCAAUGGUUGUAUAUUUGUGGUCAAGUUUAUUAUUUAACAGCUCAAUUUAAAAGAUCUUACACUGCUAUUAAGAUGAGAUGUGUGAAUCAAAAAUGCAAGGUUUGUCUAAUAAUGGUGUGUGGUACUAAAGGGCCGAAAAUACAUAAGUGUAAUGAUUUGUUUUCUGUGUACAGACUUUAAAAGAGAAAAGCUGGAAUCAUUUAGGAGAAAGGACAAAGAAAAUGGCAAUAAGCUAAAGCCAGCUUUCAACAGACUGAAUUUACAUUGGCUGUUUUAGAGAUUUUUGGAGUUUGUGUUAUGAGGGAGAAGGGGUUGUGCAGGCUCCUCCUACAUCUCCGUGAGCUCUGUUCCUCUCUGCCUCUGGAUACUUAAUUAUAUGUGAAUAUUUUAACAGGAAAAAACAACAUAUGGCUAAACUAGGUCAAAGAAGGUUUAUGCGGCUUUCCCAUGUAAUUUACAGGAAGAGGUUGUGAAAAGAAAUCCUU
Molecule: long non-coding RNA, 1601 nt
Organism: Anser brachyrhynchus (Pink-footed goose)
Lineage: Eukaryota; Metazoa; Chordata; Aves; Anseriformes; Anatidae
Source: Ensembl